This 4758-nucleotide long non-coding RNA is filed under the name Fragaria vesca (wild strawberry). RNAcentral describes it as "long non-coding RNA (FVES_LNC005441)". Lineage: Eukaryota; Viridiplantae; Streptophyta; Magnoliopsida; Rosales; Rosaceae. The record is from RNAcentral.
UUUUUCGUAUAAAUUCGUUCUCAGGGAUAGCAAGGGUUAUAGCUAUCCUGAAUAACAAAUACACAGUGACAAUAAAUAAAAGUUGCAGUAAAAUAACAAUGAACACCAAGAUGUUUUUUUACUCGCAGAAACCCUACAACCAGAGAGAAAAACUGCGUGUCUCUAACUCUUGAGAGACAAAACUUUCCACUAAGUUGAAGUAACUUUUUACAAGAAUAAUAGUUCUAGUGAUACACUACCACAGUGCUAUCCUUCCUAGUCCCAAACUAGUCUAGACCUAUUCCCUCUCUUGUUUCUAAGCUCUUACAACAUGGAACAUUUUUAGAAGUCUUGUUCGUGAAUUCAGCUAACCACUAGCAGAUUCAACUUUGAACGCUUCUCAGAAGUUUCACUCUCAGAAACUCAGCUAUCCUAAACUGAUUCUUUCAUGAACCCAGCUACCUCAGCGGGAUACAUCAGAACUCAGCUAUCCUCAGCUGUUUCUUUCAUGAACACUUCCGGGAUUGCUGCACUACCAACUGAUCUCAUGGUAUGCAGAAUGCAAUGAGUUUGUGAGAAGAGGAUUUGUUCAGCUCUAAGGUUUAUAAUCACAAGAGGAAGACUUAGAGACUAAUGAACAAUACAAAUGAAAAACCAAAACCCAACAAUAAUGCAAUGACUUUGUGAGAGAAGGUUUUGUUCAGCUCUAAGGUUUAUAAUCACAAAAGGAAGAUUUAGAGACUAAUGAACAAAACAAAGGAAAACCAAAACCCAACAAUGCAAAUGUAAAAACUACAUUUUGACAACCAUUGAGCAAAGGCAGCCUUGCUCAAUAUAUACAAGCUGAUGGAGUGCUCUAACAAGAGAGAGACACAAUCCAAAGAGGUGCCACAAAAGGGCAAGCACGAGGGCCAAAGCAAGGAAAGGCUUUUUGGACUUUUGUCCUUGGCCAAACUCAGAAAGUGAGAGGACAUAUGCAGCUGUCCAUGGCCAAGAGAAAAGACAAACAAAACUAUCCUAAACAAUGUUUGAUUUAAAAACAAGAGACAAAGGUUUUGCAAACUUUUUCCCAAAAGCAUAAUACCAUAAUGGUUUAGCAAACCACUUUUCUCUGAUAUCAAACAAAGACAGCUGCAAAUAUUGGUUUGUGUAUCACAAACACAGCAAACCACAGCUGGAGCCUAAAAGCUAAAACAUGGGUCACGGGUUGAGAUAAAGGCAUCAAACCCUAGACUAAUUUAAGCACCAAGGCAUGUCUUUUACCUUAGUUGUCAAUUUGAAAUUCAAAUGAGGAUCUCACCCAGACAUAGUUCUUAUGGAACAAGGGUAAAGAAACUUAAAUAUAAGACAACUGAACAAAAGAUCAAAAAAGCUGGAAACCCAGAUUUUAGGAUGGCAAGUGAUACUGCUAUCCUCUGUGAAAAACCAUGAAAUGCACAUGCAUGAUUUUACCUGAGUUCCAUGAGAUCAUGUUGGUUCUUCUAGUUCUUCAACUUGUUCUUAAGAUGUGCAAGACCAAUCUCUCAAUUGCUUUAGGCUUCAUAGGUUGUGUUUUGUUCUAUAUAAGGAUUGCCAACAACCUUAUACCUUCAACACAUGAUGACUAAUGUUGUAACUAGAAAAUUUUACAACUUUAAGGACUCAUAUUACAACUUCGAGAACUAAUAUUACUAGUUUGAGGACUCAAUUUACAAAGUUGAUGCACCGCAUCAUUCACAUACAUUAACACACUAGCCUUACCCGUUUAAUUCCUCUUAUAUUUUAGAACAUUUAGCCCAAUCUUACUCUCAACUCUAUUGUAAGAACCCACCCCGAAUUUUACCCUAAAACCCGGAGUAAAUCCUGCGGGGACCACCUCCAAGGAAGAUAUUACCGAAAAUUCGGCAUAACCUCCCAUGAAAAUGGACAACCCUUCCUAACGAAAACCUGCAAACACUCCUAAAAAUUCUCAAGCCAACCUUAACUUCUAGAGCCUACGUGCUCCCCAAAAACAACCACCACCAAUAACAAUAAAAAGAUCAACUUCCAGAUCAAUCACAUAAUUAUCCCGCUAAAAUAGCAUACAUCUUCCUUGAAAUAUUCUAAAUGUAAUCAAGCCUUCGUCCACAACCGAAAUAAUGUCAUACAAUAUUCCCAAGGGAAAAUCAGAGCUACUAGACACUAGAGGAAGCAAGAAAAACACUGGUAAGUUAAAUAGAUAACCUACUGAUGAAAGGUGGUGGAAAUGCGGGUGACUCUGCCUCGCCAUCUACUAGAUCUAACCCGAACUCUGCAGACUGGGCAUUUUUAAAAAGAAGGGCCCAGGGGAAGACAUUUGAAACCGUUAGAGUGAGUGGACAAAAAUAAAUUUAAAAAGAAAAUAAAUCUUUAUACUUUCCCGAUUUAACUUCUGUGGAAAAACAAUUAACGAUAUGCAACAAGCUCAAAAGCUUUUAAAAAUUUACCGAAUUUACCGAAACGUGACUAGCCGCGCUAGUCACCAACACUUCAUAAAAAUAGAGCCUCUCAGGCUAAAAUAAAAUAUGUAAGUAUUACACUCGUCAUAUCCCUUGUAUGAAUUUUUUGAAACAACAAAGACAAAUAGAAAAUUCACACAAGGUUACGACGCUUGCGUCUAACGCUCACGUCGUACCAUAAUGGCAUUUUACCUCAUUAUGGUGGAAAAGACGUUGUAUAAAUAUAUACGCGCAUAUCCCCUAUAUAAAUUAUUAUAUUUAUAUAGGGCUACGACGAUUGCGUCUAACGCUCACGUCGCACCAUAAUGACAUUUUACCUCAUUAUGGUGGAAAAGCAUGUAUAGCUAGCUAGCAUUCCUUCAUAUACAUAUUAUUCUCAUAAUCAUCCAAAUAUGGAUAUGUAUAUAUAUAUAUACUCACCGAAAUUCUCAAUUUCGGUUAUUCUCCAACAACAUAAAUUAUUUCGCAUGCACAUUAUUUAAAACAAAAGUCCACUCACAAAUUAGGCCUAAGCCUGAUGUCGAUGCCUCCUCACGACAUGUUCCAAAUAUAAUAUUAAUUUCCUAGCUGAAAUUCCAAUAUUUACACAAAAUAGGCAAAAAUUAACCGAGAGCCCUAAACACGCUCAUCAUUGCCUAACUUCGAAAUUGUCCACACCUCAACCCUAGAACCAGCAGCCGUAACUACACUUUCUCACAGUUUAAACAACUUUAAUCCAACGGCCAGAUUCUACAUUAAUUAACUGCCAAAAAUACCAAACUUCGGAAAUUUACAAACCUAACAAAAACUCCUCCAAAAAUUCCAUAAUUCACAUCAAUAAACUCCCCUUAAUAUUCCACAUCUAAAACCAUUAAAAUCUCCCAAACAGCGGCGGCCGGAGGCCGACUCCGGCGACUUCCAAUGCCAAUGAAAUUUUGACAGCAUCUUCCUCUCAACCCCUUAUACAACUUUCCUAACUAGCACAAACAUCAAUUCCAAGCCUAACUAGGGCAAUCGAGCAAAAACAACACAAAAAGCCCUAGAGCUUCCACUCACCGGUUCUACUCACCUUAAGCAAACUGGACCGAGUCCUUCUAGGGCAAGGCAACUAGGUUGGAGACCUUCAAAACCAUAUAAGGCUUGCCCGGAUUGGUGGCCGGAGGAGGAAGUUCCGGCGAGAAAACCACCACGACAGCUAGCGUUUCCGGGCGUCGUUUCUCUCUCACGGCGGCGCUAGGGGGGCUGUCAUUAGUCCAUGGAGGUAGCUGGGUUGAAGGCUGACCGAACGGGACCGGACCGGUGGCGGAUGGUGGCCGGACGGCGACGGACGGACGGCGAGAAGAUCCGACAGCGGGAGAGGGAGUGAGUCGGGAGGGAGAGAAGAAGAGAGAGAGAGAAGAAAUGAGGUUUGGGUCUCCACCAAACCGAUCCAACCCUUUAAAACAAAACCCAACUCUAAAAUUUACACCUCAAAAAUAAUACCCUAAUAAAAAUUACCUUUUACUAGCUAAAAAUUUACCAUUUUUUACCGUCGUUAAUAUUUUCUCCUACGAAUAAUCCUCUGAAAAUAACCGUCCCCUAAACCCCUCUAGGGACCAAUUCAACUAUAACCUCAAUGACGGAGACGGUAAAAUUCUUAUUAUAACCAAGCUAGUAAAUAAGGUAAAAAUUUAAGGGUCGGGAUGUGACAUUUAUUGUCACAUGCACCUUGACCCGGAAAUUGAGAAUAAUUUUUUUUUUCCAGGGUAAGGACGUGAAUAGCCUCGAUUUGUCAAAAGAUAAGAGAGAACCUUUGACAAAUAAAAGCUAUGUGAAAAACUUUAUUUCAUAAGUAUUGUUCUCACAACAAACAGGAAAGUAGCCUGAUUACACAAACUUAAAUAAAAAACAGUAAGCUAUAGAUUCACUCCUCCUCCUAGACUUCAGAUUCUUUCUAGACAUCAAGUCUUAUCCCUCAAGUGUAACAUCUGAACAAAUUCAUAAAGGGGUGAGCCAAAAGACUCAGUAGAGCAAAUCUCAUGCACAUAAUUUCAAUAUUAGUGUAUGCACAUAAUUUUAUGUUUCAGUUGCUGGUACUCUUGUACUCUUCUUGGUCACCAGUGUCUUCUUACCAUAAGAUCGUUUUAUUAAUAUAACAUUGAAAGGGCUUUUCUCCCUACAUGUAUAUAGAGAAAUUUUUCUGUCCUCCAGGAGGACCACGUCAACAUGCCUAGUGGUCAUCUUUGGCCAAUAGGAAGCGGUUAUGUAGUAUUUUUUGACAUGUAAUAAUAAAGUAAAAUAAUUACUGUAUUUAACUUAAGUAAAUCCAACCUUUUCUUUUAAAAAAAACUGAAGGAAAACCAAA